CCCACCUAGACUACAUGUCCCAGCAUUCCCCGCACCGUCGGUGUUGCCUGGCGACAGGAGCAGACAGUUUGGUUCACGUGGAGAUCUUGGAAAGAAAUGCUUUGCAAAAGCUUGUGAAGUGAAUAUGAAAUAUCUACACUAGAGAUGUGAGCAGUAUUGGGAUCACAAAUUAUGGAGGACGGAGGAAUAGCUUUUGAUGCUUUGGAAAGAUUUUGCAGCAGUCAUGAGCAAACAUUUGCUGAAUUAUUGGAAUCAUUUAUGCACCUCA
Long non-coding RNA from Rhincodon typus (whale shark), 268 nucleotides. RefSeq lists it as uncharacterized. The transcript has 3 exons. Lineage: Eukaryota; Metazoa; Chordata; Chondrichthyes; Orectolobiformes; Rhincodontidae. The record is from RefSeq and is a predicted model, not a curated record.